Molecule: long non-coding RNA, 955 nt
Organism: Amphiprion ocellaris (clown anemonefish)
Lineage: Eukaryota; Metazoa; Chordata; Actinopteri; Pomacentridae
Exons: 3
Source: RefSeq, a predicted model, not a curated record
AGAGGAGAAGUGUGGAAAGGAGAGGGUGAAGUCAGGGGGGAAUAGCUCCUGUUGCCCAGCCACGCUGCUGCCGCUGCUGCAGGAGGAUUGUCCUCCAUUCCUGUAUGGAUAAAGGGGAUUGGAGGGGUAAAGAAAAAGGAAAAAUACAACAUAAAUGGCUCCAGAUAUAUGAGCGACAUUUUAUAUCUUUGGCAAGUUUUGGAGUGUAACCCUUUGAGAAGACUCGUAUAAAGGAGAAUGUGUUGGUCAUGACACAACGUAUCCUGUACAACGAGUUGAUUAUGGACAUAAGCUGCAGACACAGGACUGUAAACAUUUUUAUUUGGGCUUAUAACGUGCAGCCUGUCAACAGUAAGGGAAAAAAUCCACAACCUGUGUGACCUGACGCUCAGCAUCUCGCUCCGCUGAUUGGCAGUAAUGCUAUUUAAUCAAAUGUCAAACAGCACAGGUUUAUGAUACACAAGCCAACCUUUGAAUCGCUGCUUCAAGUGAAUGGAAUUUGUGUGCGCACGCAAACAAACACACCGGAGCCUAAACACACACACGCCGAAUGCUUUUACUAAGCGGUCAGAGCUUUUGAGUCAAUAAUUUUGAUAUCAGAAAUGGUUUUCUAUCCACUCUGUGUGUGUGUGUGUGUGUGUGUGUGUGUGUGUGUGUGAAGGGAGAAGAAAGGGGGAAAAAGUCAUCACUUCACGUCUUGUUUAUGUGCUUGUCAUUUAUUCGCUGUCUGCGUUAUAUAUCCCGGGAAGCAUUCUCACAUUUCAAAAACUCCCUUGCCAUUUCAAAAAUAAUUGGCCAGUUCCUUGUGCUGAGCCGACUCCACAUCCAGUAGGUUUUGUUUUUUUUUUUUUCCCACAUGCAACCAAGCUGCCAAAGCGCUCACUUUCUUUUGCUGCUGACAAUGUGUCAACACGUUGAUGUCAGCAACAAUAACAAUAAAACUGUUGUGUGUGAA